Molecule: transfer RNA, 62 nt
Filed under: Ictidomys tridecemlineatus (thirteen-lined ground squirrel)
Lineage: Eukaryota; Metazoa; Chordata; Mammalia; Rodentia; Sciuridae
Description: Spermophilus tridecemlineatus (thirteen-lined ground squirrel) tRNA
Rfam family: tRNA
About the family: Transfer RNA (tRNA) molecules are approximately 80 nucleotides in length. Their secondary structure includes four short double-helical elements and three loops (D, anti-codon, and T loops).
Source: Rfam by way of RNAcentral
GAGGUUGUGGCUCAGUGGUAGAGUGCUCACCUUGCACAUGUGAGGCCAUGGGCUCAAUCUCA